This 497-nucleotide ribosomal RNA is filed under the name uncultured bacterium. RNAcentral describes it as "partial 16S ribosomal RNA". It matches the Rfam family "Bacterial small subunit ribosomal RNA", at positions 29 to 507 of the family's 1533-position model. The record is from RNAcentral.
AGUGAACGCUGGCGGCAGGCCUAACACAUGCAAGUCGAACGGCAGCACAGUAAGAGUUUGCCCUUACGGGUGGCGAGUGGCGGAUGGGUGAGGCAUACAUCGGAAUCUACUUUUUCGUGGGGGACAACGUAGGGCAACUUACGCUAAUACCGCAUACGACCUACGGGUGAAUUCAGGGGUGUUAGGCGCUUUUGCGGUCGAAUGUAGCUGGAUCCGCGUCGCAUUAGCUAGUUGGUAAGGUAACGGCAUACCAAGGCGACGAUGCGUAGCUGGUCUGAGAGGGUGAUCAGCCACACUGGAACUGAGACACGGUCCAGACUCCUACGGGAGGCAGCAGUGGGGAAUAUUGGACAAUGGGCGCAAGCCUGAUCCAGCAAUACCGCGUGGGUGAAGAAGGCCUUCGGAUUGUAAAGCCCUUUUGUUGGGAAAGAAAAGCAGCGGGUUAAUACCCCGCUGUUCUGACGGUACCCAAUGAGUAAGCACCGGCUAACUUCGUG